AGUGUGCUAGCUUGCUAGAAUUUAGAUACAGGUGCUGCACGGCUGUCGUCAGCUCGUGUCGUGAGAUGUGGGUUAAGUCCCGCAACGAGCGCAACCCUCGUGUUUAGUUGCUAACAGUUCGGCUGAGAACUCUAAACAGACUGCCUACGCAAGUAGGAGGAAGGUGAGGACGACGUCAAGUCAUCAUGGCCCUUACGGCCAGGGCUACACACGUGCUACAAUGGGGUAUACAAAGAGCAGCGAUACGGUGACGUGGAGCAAAUCUAGAAAAUAGCCUCUCAGUUCGGAUUGUAGUCUGCAACUCGACUACAUGAAGUUGGAAUCGCUAGUAAUCGUAGAUCAGCAAUGCUACGGUGAAUACGUUCCCGGGUCUU
This 374-nucleotide ribosomal RNA is filed under the name uncultured Arcobacter sp. RNAcentral describes it as "bacterial SSU rRNA". It matches the Rfam family "Bacterial small subunit ribosomal RNA", at positions 1007 to 1382 of the family's 1533-position model. Lineage: Bacteria; Pseudomonadati; Campylobacterota; Epsilonproteobacteria; Campylobacterales; Arcobacteraceae. The record is from RNAcentral.